RNAcentral lists this ribosomal RNA (653 nucleotides) under uncultured bacterium. RNAcentral describes it as "bacterial SSU rRNA". It matches the Rfam family "Bacterial small subunit ribosomal RNA", at positions 140 to 788 of the family's 1533-position model. The record is from RNAcentral.
GGGAUAACUACUGGAAACGGUAGCUAAUACCGCAUAACGUCGCAAGACCAAAGAGGGGGACCUUCGGGCCUCUUGCCAUCGGAUGUGCCCAGAUGGGAUUAGCUAGUAGGUGGGGUAACGGCUCACCUAGGCGACGAUCCCUAGCUGGUCUGAGAGGAUGACCAGCCACACUGGAACUGAGACACGGUCCAGACUCCUACGGGAGGCAGCAGUGGGGAAUAUUGCACAAUGGGCGCAAGCCUGAUGCAGCCAUGCCGCGUGUAUGAAGAAGGCCUUCGGGUUGUAAAGUACUUUCAGCGGGGAGGAAGGGAGUAAAGUUAAUACCUUUGCUCAUUGACGUUACCCGCAGAAGAAGCACCGGCUAACUCCGUGCCAGCAGCCGCGGUAAUACGGAGGGUGCAAGCGUUAAUCGGAAUUACUGGGCGUAAAGCGCACGCAGGCGGUUUGUUAAGUCAGAUGUGAAAUCCCCGGGCUCAACCUGGGAACUGCAUCUGAUACUGGCAAGCUUGAGUCUCGUAGAGGGGGGUAGAAUUCCAGGUGUAGCGGUGAAAUGCGUAGAGAUCUGGAGGAAUACCGGUGGCGAAGGCGGCCCCCUGGACGAAGACUGACGCUCAGGUGCGAAAGCGUGGGGAGCAAACAGGAUUAGAUACCCU